AUGAUGCUCACAAGAAGACGGAGAAAUAGGUCACCGUACGACAUUGUGAUCACUUGAGACACACUCCAAACAGUUACUGCGGGGGAGAUGUAGACAUCCAUCCACUUCACUGAGGAAUGAAGCACACAGCAACCUUUAAUACCACAUGGAUUCGUCAGGUUGAAGAGUUGUUUCCUGAGAUGAUGCGAUGGUGAUGCCUCCUGUCAUGGGAAAACACACGGAGCUUCAGAAGCCUGAGAUGAAUCGCAUCAGAAGCUCCGCUCAGAUUUAAUAAAGCAAAAACAAAGAAGUAAAGAGAACAGAUCAGUGAACAUCCACUACUACUUAUCCACCAGCUACCAGCAACUUUUUCAAAGUCCUGCUGUACGAUGUCACUCUUUCAUUAAAG
This is a long non-coding RNA of Thunnus maccoyii (southern bluefin tuna), 388 nucleotides long. RefSeq lists it as uncharacterized. The transcript has 3 exons. The record is from RefSeq and is a predicted model, not a curated record. NCBI's taxonomy places the organism in Eukaryota, Metazoa, Chordata, Actinopteri, Scombriformes, Scombridae.